Molecule: ribosomal RNA, 545 nt
Filed under: uncultured bacterium
Lineage: Bacteria
Description: bacterial SSU rRNA
Rfam family: Bacterial small subunit ribosomal RNA
Source: RNAcentral
GGAAUUUUCCGCAAUGGGCGAAAGCCUGACGGAGCAACGCCGCGUGAGGGAUGAAGGCCUCUGGGCUGUAAACCUCUUUUAUCAAGGAAGAAGAUCUGACGGUACUUGAUGAAUAAGCCACGGCUAAUUCCGUGCCAGCAGCCGCGGUAAUACGGGAGUGGCAAGCGUUAUCCGGAAUUAUUGGGCGUAAAGCGUCCGCAGGCGGUCUUUUAAGUCUGUCGUCAAAGCGUGGAGCUUAACUCCAUUACUGCGAUGGAAACUGGGAGACUAGAGUGUGGUAGGGGCAGAGGGAAUUCCCGGUGUAGCGGUGAAAUGCGUAGAUAUCGGGAAGAACACCAGUGGCGAAGGCGCUCUGCUGGGCCAUAACUGACGCUCAUGGACGAAAGCCAGGGGAGCGAAAGGGAUUAGAUACCCCUGUAGUCCUGGCCGUAAACGAUGAACACUAGGUGUCGGGGGAAUCGACCCCCUCGGUGUCGUAGCCAACGCGUUAAGUGUUCCGCCUGGGGAGUACGCACGCAAGUGUGAAACUCAAAUGAAUUGACGGA